This is a non-coding RNA of Drosophila melanogaster (fruit fly), 861 nucleotides long. The record is from Ensembl. NCBI's taxonomy places the organism in Eukaryota, Metazoa, Arthropoda, Insecta, Diptera, Drosophilidae.
AGUAAUGAAUAAUUCGAAAUCAGUUUUCGAAUGCCAAUCCCACACCCACAUCUCACUUUGUCCCAUUCCCAAGAAGAGCUCUCGUUCGCUAAUGCGAUUAGUUUGAGUGCUGUCAGUGGGAUUUUUAAACCGUUUAACAGCCAGCACAUCUGGAGCAGCACAUACUCGACAGCCACACACUCCCCACACCCCACACAACACCAAACCCAUCCUUCCAAUCAGCAUCCUCGUGGCGCCUUCAGAGUGCAUUUCAAUUUCCGUCUGUCCUGGCACGGUGGUGUCGUAUGGCACAAACACACAAAGCAUUCGUGAGAGCCCGCUGCAUCAUUUCCAAGUCUCUUCCGGCCUUUGCUUGAGAUUCGAUUCAUAACUUUUUCAUCUUGGCUAGAAAUAAAGCAAAGGAGCUCACAAUCGAGGCCGGCGAGUACGCAGAGCUCAGCUGGAAUAAACAAGGAGCAGUCGCCAGUUCACCACCCCGCCAUCGUUAUCUCUGCCAUCCGUAUCAUUAUCCUGCAUACAUACUCCUUCAAAGUUCAGCGAAACAAGGCGAUUCGAGGCUCUCCUGCUCUCGUUGCGCAAACAAUGGGGGAACGACUCGAAACACUCAAGUGCAAUAUUUGGCAACAUUAAUUUAAUGUCUGUACAUAAGGAGCGCAAUAAAACUUUGACCAAGUGCCACCUUUUCCGGCUUUUCCGGCCGAGGCUGCAACUUCAACGGAGCGGCCUUAUCAAUGUUUAAACAGAGCUGCACAACACACCAUCCUCCUGGCCCAGCUAAAAACAAAAGCAUAACCAAAAACAAAAACAUGGGCUGUAAAAACCGGAAGAGACCACCGAAAGGACUUGAAUCAUUUUAAGACC